CAACCCUCAAACCCCCGGGUUUGGUGUUGGGGAUCGGAUUGCUAGUCAGUCCGGCCCCGAAAUCUAGUGGCGGUCACGCUGCAACUUCCAUUGCGUAGUAGAUAACACCCCGCAACUGGUACGCGGCGCGGCCAAGCCGUUAAACCCCCAACUUCUGAA
This 159-nucleotide unclassified non-coding RNA is filed under the name uncultured Gibberella. RNAcentral describes it as "sequence contains ITS2". Lineage: Eukaryota; Fungi; Ascomycota; Sordariomycetes; Hypocreales; Nectriaceae. The record is from RNAcentral.